This 253-nucleotide ribosomal RNA is filed under the name uncultured bacterium. RNAcentral describes it as "partial 16S ribosomal RNA". It matches the Rfam family "Bacterial small subunit ribosomal RNA", at positions 524 to 776 of the family's 1533-position model. The record is from RNAcentral.
UACGGAGGAUCCAAGCGUUAUCCGGAAUCAUUGGGUUUAAAGGGUCCGUAGGCGGUUUAAUAAGUCCGUGGUGAAAGCCCAUCGCUCAACGGUGGAACGGCCAUUGAUACUGUUAAACUUGAAUUAUUAGGAAGUAACUAGAAUAUGUAGUGUAGCGGUGAAAUGCUUAGAGAUUACAUGGAAUACCAAUUGCGAAGGCAGGUUACUACUAAUGGAUUGACGCUGAUGGACGAAAGCGUGGGUAGCGAACAGG